Molecule: long non-coding RNA, 1517 nt
Organism: Camelus dromedarius (Arabian camel)
Lineage: Eukaryota; Metazoa; Chordata; Mammalia; Artiodactyla; Camelidae
Exons: 5
Source: RefSeq, a predicted model, not a curated record
GGUGUACUUUUUUUUGCACACGUUAGGAGCCAGGUUCAGAGCCCCUGUUCUAGGGCCCCGUGCACGUUACUGGCCGGUGAACCCAGCAGGUCCAUCCAAAGUCUGCCCUUCAAGGUCCCACUCAGAUGCCACCUUCUGCAUGAAAUCCACCUAGACUGCUCCAGCCUGGCCUGUACUGGUUUUGGUGGAGCACAUUCUUUGCUCUUGUUUCGAGGGUUGAAAAUCUCAACAGAACUUAUCAGCCUCUGUCCCCGUCUCAAAAGAGGAGUUCUUCAGAGAGGCAGCUCCAGAAGCAGCAAGGUCUUCGGCAGAAAUCAGGGUACCGGUAUAAUGCUGUGGAGGCUAUCUGAGACUUCAGCCCCAAUUUUAGAGAAAUUUCCAGUCUAUUUUAAUUCGUGAACGAGCCAACCAGGACCGGAGGAGGUGGCUACUUGCCAAGCAGUGGAGUAGGGAGCAUGCUGGCCGGGGCCAGGAGAUCUGGUUCCAAUCAUGGACACCACAUGGACCACGUGUGUGCUGGUGCCUUCUGUGCUCUCCAUGUCCACACCCGCCCCCUCCGAAGCCGUGCACUCACCCCUGCCCCAUCUACUCUGUACGGUUGUCGGCAGAGAACAGAGGAUGGUACAAGUACGAUUAAAAUGACACGGAGGGGUAGCAGAGCUUUGGCAGUGGGGGCUGUCACUGUGAUUGUUAUCGCUCCUUAUUAAACCAGUGCACGUUUGCGCAGACUGAGAUGGCUGUCAUGUUGGAGUGAACAGGCCACGGGAUGCUGACACAGCUACUAAGUUGCAGUGUGGCCUUGAGCAUCUCCCUGCCCUCUCUGCAAACCCAGCGGCUGUGCCCGGUAAUCAUCACGUCCCUCUGGGAUUGGAAGGUUGGUGACGUUGAAACGCAGCAAACGCACUCUGGCUCUAGACGCUUUGGAGAGUGACGAUCUGGUAGCUGCUUUGGGCCAGACUCUCUUGGCGGUUACCCUGGGGGUGCUUGGUGGGGGGUGGAGAGCUGCCCAGGCCCUCGCUGCAGCCCACAUGCAAGGCAUCUGGGAGGUUGCAAGGACAUAUUUGAGAGGAAAAUCAUUUUCCUUCAGCACAAAGUCUGGCAGCUGCAGAGGAUAUAGAUCCCUGGCCCUGGGGUUUUCUAAGCCCGGUCAGACGUCUGACUCCUUCAGGGAGUUUCUGCACGGAGACGCAGCGAGGGGAACCUUCUGAUUUCCCCACUCCUGGUUCUGGAAUGGGACUCUCGACACGCCGCCAAGUUACCCAUCUUUCGGACCUCUCCCCGCUGUGUCGUGCUGCUCUGCCUCUCAGUGGUCCCACGUUGUAUCCUGAGCCCACAAGGCGUCACAGAGAAUCAGGGGCCACAGGACCUCUGCAUUGGAAGAAUCUAGAGACUUGAUUUCACUGGUCUUUAGCUCUUUUCAGUAGUUUUGUCAAAAGACAAGGAAAUCACUGAAAGUGAUACUAUUUUAAGCUCGACUUUGUAACAUUGGUGUAUUAUAGAGCCAAUAAGUGAGCACA